This 1536-nucleotide ribosomal RNA is filed under the name Klebsiella pneumoniae. Its description in RNAcentral is "bacterial SSU rRNA". It matches the Rfam family "Bacterial small subunit ribosomal RNA". Lineage: Bacteria; Pseudomonadati; Pseudomonadota; Gammaproteobacteria; Enterobacterales; Enterobacteriaceae. The record is from RNAcentral.
UUGAAGAGUUUGAUCAUGGCUCAGAUUGAACGCUGGCGGCAGGCCUAACACAUGCAAGUCGAGCGGUAGCACAGAGAGCUUGCUCUCGGGUGACGAGCGGCGGACGGGUGAGUAAUGUCUGGGAAACUGCCUGAUGGAGGGGGAUAACUACUGGAAACGGUAGCUAAUACCGCAUAAUGUCGCAAGACCAAAGUGGGGGACCUUCGGGCCUCAUGCCAUCAGAUGUGCCCAGAUGGGAUUAGCUAGUAGGUGGGGUAACGGCUCACCUAGGCGACGAUCCCUAGCUGGUCUGAGAGGAUGACCAGCCACACUGGAACUGAGACACGGUCCAGACUCCUACGGGAGGCAGCAGUGGGGAAUAUUGCACAAUGGGCGCAAGCCUGAUGCAGCCAUGCCGCGUGUGUGAAGAAGGCCUUCGGGUUGUAAAGCACUUUCAGCGGGGAGGAAGGCGAUAAGGUUAAUAACCUUGUCGAUUGACGUUACCCGCAGAAGAAGCACCGGCUAACUCCGUGCCAGCAGCCGCGGUAAUACGGAGGGUGCAAGCGUUAAUCGGAAUUACUGGGCGUAAAGCGCACGCAGGCGGUCUGUCAAGUCGGAUGUGAAAUCCCCGGGCUCAACCUGGGAACUGCAUUCGAAACUGGCAGGCUAGAGUCUUGUAGAGGGGGGUAGAAUUCCAGGUGUAGCGGUGAAAUGCGUAGAGAUCUGGAGGAAUACCGGUGGCGAAGGCGGCCCCCUGGACAAAGACUGACGCUCAGGUGCGAAAGCGUGGGGAGCAAACAGGAUUAGAUACCCUGGUAGUCCACGCCGUAAACGAUGUCGAUUUGGAGGUUGUGCCCUUGAGGCGUGGCUUCCGGAGCUAACGCGUUAAAUCGACCGCCUGGGGAGUACGGCCGCAAGGUUAAAACUCAAAUGAAUUGACGGGGGCCCGCACAAGCGGUGGAGCAUGUGGUUUAAUUCGAUGCAACGCGAAGAACCUUACCUGGUCUUGACAUCCACAGAACUUUCCAGAGAUGGAUUGGUGCCUUCGGGAACUGUGAGACAGGUGCUGCAUGGCUGUCGUCAGCUCGUGUUGUGAAAUGUUGGGUUAAGUCCCGCAACGAGCGCAACCCUUAUCCUUUGUUGCCAGCGGUUAGGCCGGGAACUCAAAGGAGACUGCCAGUGAUAAACUGGAGGAAGGUGGGGAUGACGUCAAGUCAUCAUGGCCCUUACGACCAGGGCUACACACGUGCUACAAUGGCAUAUACAAAGAGAAGCGACCUCGCGAGAGCAAGCGGACCUCAUAAAGUAUGUCGUAGUCCGGAUUGGAGUCUGCAACUCGACUCCAUGAAGUCGGAAUCGCUAGUAAUCGUAGAUCAGAAUGCUACGGUGAAUACGUUCCCGGGCCUUGUACACACCGCCCGUCACACCAUGGGAGUGGGUUGCAAAAGAAGUAGGUAGCUUAACCUUCGGGAGGGCGCUUACCACUUUGUGAUUCAUGACUGGGGUGAAGUCGUAACAAGGUAACCGUAGGGGAACCUGCGGUUGGAUCACCUCCUU